This 465-nucleotide ribosomal RNA is filed under the name uncultured bacterium. Its description in RNAcentral is "partial 16S ribosomal RNA". It matches the Rfam family "Bacterial small subunit ribosomal RNA", at positions 28 to 507 of the family's 1533-position model. The record is from RNAcentral.
GACGGACGCUGGCGGCGUGCUUAACACAUGCAAGUCGAACGGAAAGGCCCCAGCUUGCUGGGGUCCUCGAGUGGCGAACGGGUGAGUAACACGUGGGUGAUCUGCCCUGCACUCUGGGAUAAGCCUGGGAAACUGGGUCUAAUACCGGAUAGGACCGUGCUUUAGUGUGUGCGGUGGAAAGUUUUUCGGUGCAGGAUGAGCCCGCGGCCUAUCAGCUUGUUGGUGGGGUAAUGGCCUACCAAGGCGGCGACGGGUAGCCGGCCUGAGAGGGUGUACGGCCACAUUGGGACUGAGACACGGCCCAGACUCCUACGGGAGGCAGAAGUGGGGAAUAUUGCACAAUGGGCGCAAGCCUGAUGCAGCGACGCCGCGUGGGGGAUGACGGCCUUCGGGUUGUAAACCCCUUUCGGCAGGGACGAAGCUUUUGUGACGGUACCUGCAGAAGAAGCACCGGCUAACUACGUG